This 404-nucleotide ribosomal RNA is filed under the name uncultured bacterium. RNAcentral's name for it is "partial 16S ribosomal RNA". It matches the Rfam family "Bacterial small subunit ribosomal RNA", at positions 29 to 526 of the family's 1533-position model. The record is from RNAcentral.
AUUGAACGCUGGCGGCAGGCCUAACACAUGCAAGUCGAGCGAGCGGCGGACGGGUGAGUAAUGCCUGGGAAUUGCCCAGUCGAGGGGGAUAACAGUUGGAAACGACUGCUAAUAACGCAUACGCAUGGAUUGCACAGGUGGGAUUGGGUAGUGGGUGAGGUAAUGGCUCACCAAGGCGACGAUCCCUAGCUUGUCGGAGAGGAUGGUCAGACACAUUGGAACGGGGACACGGGCCAGAGCCCUUCGGGAGGCAGCAGUGGGGAAUAUUGCACAAGGGGGGAAACCCUGGUGCAGCCAUGCCGCGUGUGUGAAGAAGGCCUUCGGGUUGUAAAGCACGUUCAGCGAGGAGGCGUUACUCGCAGAAGAAGCACCGGCUAACUCCGUGCCAGCAGCCGCGGUAAUUC